UACGUAGGGGGCUAGCGUUAUCCGGAAUUACUGGGCGUAAAGGGUGCGUAGGCGGUCUUUCAAGCCAGAAGUGAAAGGCUACGGCUCAACCGUAGUAAGCCUUUGAAACUGGGAAACUUGAGUGCAGGAGAGGAGAGUGGAAUUCCUAGUGUAGCGGUGAAAUGCGUAGAUAUUAGGAGGAACACCAGUAGCGAAGGCGGCUCUCUGGACUGUAACUGACACUGAGGCACGAAAGCGUGGGGAGCAAACAGGAUUAGAUACCCCCGUAGUCCCUGAGCGGG
Molecule: ribosomal RNA, 281 nt
Filed under: uncultured prokaryote
Description: partial 16S ribosomal RNA
Rfam family: Bacterial small subunit ribosomal RNA
Source: RNAcentral